GUUUUUUUUUCCCGAAAAGCCCCCUCUGGUCGAAUCCCCACCGCGCCCACGCGACCAGACCACGCCGCCGCGCCGCCCACGCAAACCCUAAGCCAGCCAGCCAGCCAGCUCUCGCCAGCCACCCACGUGGCGCGGGGUCCAAUGGAGGAGGACACUGGCGACAGGGAGGAGCAGCAGCCUGUCGCGGCCGCGGGAGGUGGCGCUGCCCCCGGCGAAGACGGGGCGGCAUGGAGGAGAGCGCCAUCAAGCUCUUCGUCGGCCAGGUGCCCAAACUCAUGACCGAGGUCGAGCAGGCCGCCAUGUUCUGUGACGUCGCCAUCGUCAACGAGGUCACCGUCAUCCGCGACACGGCCACCAAGAUCUUGCGAGGUUCGUCCGGAUCCGUAUGCCCCAACCCGCAACGCUGGGUUAUCCUUCCCUCCGGAGAGAGGACAUGUACAGGGAUAUCAGAUCUUAUGCGUCCAUCUCUCACAACCACAUCCCCGGCGUAUAGCAGCGCCGUCAGAUCAAGAGAAACAAUGCAAACCCUGGAUACUUCGGGGAGGGGAAGAAGAGAGGGUGGAGGAGCACAUCCCCGUGAAGAAGAUGAGAUCCUACCUCCUCGGUCUCAACAUCGUCAAGAAAUCAUAGAGCAGUAACAACGCUAGAGCAGCAGCAAAGCGAAGUCUCUAAUCGAUCUAGCAGCAUGAUCAAAGAGGCUGGGUACAAAUACGCGAGGAGGUCAAGGUCAUUCUUCCUGAUGACCAAAGGUAGACAGCAGGAUCUUUCCCUGUGUCCUAUGGCGUGCCCUUGACCUACUGGGGGAAAUUCGAGCGGAUCUACCUAUACCUCGACCGAGAGGCCACCGGCGCCGCAUCUUCUGAGUUUGACCUGUGUCUUGGGUGACUCGGAAAAGCGGCGACUUGAGAGAUGGUCCGGCCUCAGGAGACUUGGCACAGUGUCUUGGGUGACUCGGAAAAGAUGCGACAUGAGAGAUGGUCCGGCCUCAGGAGACUUGGUACAGCACACUAUUGAAGGUUUGGUCCAGAUAAUGAGAGCUCAGAGAUGUUUCCGAUUGUUAGUGCACUCUUGAAUAUGGUAUAUCUUGCAUAUCAAGUUCUUAGACACAUGCGUACCCUCACUCAAGGGAUGCAGGCUGCAGAGAGUAUAUCUGGAUGACAUUCUUGCCCAGGUGGUCUGUUCAUCUGUAGUUUAACAUGCACAAUAAUGAAAUUUAAAUAACACGUAAGGACAUAUCAGUUACUUCAACACAUAAACACAUAUCAGUUGUUUACUUAAUAAAAUAGCUCUUUCUA
Lolium perenne is the source of this 1295-nucleotide non-coding RNA. The record is from RefSeq and is a predicted model, not a curated record. Lineage: Eukaryota; Viridiplantae; Streptophyta; Magnoliopsida; Poales; Poaceae.